GCACACCAGUGUCUAGGGGCCGCAGGGAAUUGGAAGAAAGGAUCCAGUGUAAACAUAACUUCCAAGCUGACCAUUGCUCUAUUGCUCUCUUGGCAGCUGGAGGUGGGGUCUUUGGGAGUUUCUUGCUUUCUGUUGCACCGUGUGAAGAGGCAGAGGUGGUCAGAAGAGUGGACAGCCCAACAUCACUUGAAAGAGUGCAGCCUGGAAUUCAACUGGAUGGUCUGAGUAUAUUUGGGGACCUCACACGACUAGGAGAACCGGGAUGAAUCGAUAGGGCGAAGUUUUAUCAUCUUUGUACUAUCAACCCGGACAUGUUAUUCAGGCCUGUAGAGAAGAUGGAGUUUGUGGCCUUCAGGGAAUGAAGGAAAAGUAUUUGAGCAUUAGACCUUCCAUAAUCAACGGUUUGUAGAAAACCUCUAUUUCUAGGUGUAUCAUGUCCCGUUCAUUCCAAAUCACUGAGCCAUCAGGAGACACCAAACAAACAUGAUCCAUGAGGAACAGGGAUGAACGAGGUUACAGCAGAGAAGCACGCUUUACUUGGGCAGAGCCCACGCUCACUGCCCUGACCAGCCUAGCCUGUGCCGGCCGCCUCCUGAGGUCUUUCUUAAGCAAACUAAGUGUGAUUAAAAUGGGCUUUUAACAAUACUCAACUGUCUUUUUAUGUGAUCAGCUGUGUUUAUUUCUGUUGUUUUAAAACUGGAAUAAGUAUGCUUGAGUAAGUGUACAUACACACCCACACACACCCACACACACACACAGGUGCAUAUUCUUUUUUUUUUUUUUAGGUAAUGAAAGGCUAAAAUUUAUCAAAGAGUUAACCAUUUGCCAGGACUGUUCAUGCAGGACAUUAUUUCAUUUAAUUAAUUUCAUUUAAUAAUUGGCCUUAUUCGUUAAUCUUUAAAGCAGCUCUAUGAGGUAGGUAUAUUAUUAUCCUAUUUUCACAGAUGAGGAAACUGAGGCCCCCAAAAUUUUAAGUAAAAUGCCCAAGAUCACAAAGCUAGUAGAACACAUGAGGUUGUAGAGGAAGUGAAAACGAGAAGCCAGACAGCAAAAUGCAGAUCUUGAGUCUUUAUGCAUCAUGUUAGAAUGCUUCCCAUGGUCUUUAGAAAAUUUAGAAAAUAAUUAAGAAAUAAAUGUCACUCAUAAUUACAUUGUUAGGAGACGAUCGUAAUCUAUAUUUUCAUGCUUUUAUGCACAUAGAGACUAUUACGCCAGUGCAAGGUUUUCA
Long non-coding RNA from Ailuropoda melanoleuca (giant panda), 1228 nucleotides. RefSeq lists it as uncharacterized. NCBI's taxonomy places the organism in Eukaryota, Metazoa, Chordata, Mammalia, Carnivora, Ursidae. The transcript has 4 exons. The record is from RefSeq and is a predicted model, not a curated record.